This is a long non-coding RNA of Zingiber officinale, 963 nucleotides long. RefSeq lists it as uncharacterized. The transcript has 4 exons. The record is from RefSeq and is a predicted model, not a curated record. Lineage: Eukaryota; Viridiplantae; Streptophyta; Magnoliopsida; Zingiberales; Zingiberaceae.
UCGAUGUCGAGCUCUUCAUCUUCCCCGAAACCCGAUCGCCUUCCCCCAACCCGAUGGCGCCACCCUCGUUUCCUCUUCUCCCACGAGUACAAAACCUAUCCCUCUCCCUUGCAUCGUCGCCCUUCCAUCCUUCUCCACCUCAUGCCGACCCCCCCUUCCGAUCUCCCUGUGUGCCGCUGCGGACCACCACGGACCCACAAUAGGUCGUCGCAGGCCGAAGCUGACCGCCACGACCCGACACCAGUCGCUAGAAGCCAAGCACCAUCUUCUUUCCCGACGUGUCGCCGACGUCGAUUGACGGCUGGCCUCGUGCCCUAGUUGUUCCUCUUCACCAUCGGCUACUGUGGGUCGACGCCAAAGCAUAGGCGUUGUCGUUGGCCCCAUUCUGGCUACAAGUCUUCAUCUUUCCUUCGGUCGUGACCUAGUUUUGGAUCCACAACCGUCUCUGUCUCCGUCCGAGCCCAACUCAGCCAUCGGUCGCCACUCUUUCAACCAUAGGAAGACCCAACCUAUAACACUACAACCCUGUUGAAUUUCGUCCAUUAAGUAUUGAUUUAUGGUACUUGACAUAAAGCGUAGAAGCUUCACCUAACUUUACUUCGGUUGUAACCUCCAGUCGCACCUUCUUCAACUGAGAGUUAGCAGAGAUGUCGCUUAUUUGGGGACAUUGAUUUGGGGAGAGGAUCACGACGUGAAGUUUAUUUCAGAUACUAUCUCCAUUUUUUAGGUUAAGGCUGUCAAGAGGUUCAAGUCGCUAGUCCCCCACCUCGUGUAGAUAUGGUUUUCUACUUUCAGACUUUGUUUCCUUGUUUUGUGAUCUACAUGCGUGUGAUGUGUAUAUCUUGUACUCAUGAAUUUUAUAUCGAGUUUUGGUCUACUACCCUUGUUUUCCAUUGUGAUGGUUUUCCGUUGUGGGUUGUGUUUUCCUCGAGUAGUGGAGUAGAUUUUAUAAUAAACUGCGUG